This 322-nucleotide ribosomal RNA is filed under the name uncultured Rhogostoma. Its description in RNAcentral is "SSU rRNA". The stretch from base 107 to 322 matches the Rfam family "Eukaryotic small subunit ribosomal RNA", at positions 738 to 955 of the family's 1831-position model. The record is from RNAcentral. Lineage: Eukaryota; Cercozoa; Thecofilosea; Cryomonadida.
GAUUUCUGGCUUGGUGCGCGCCGUCCGCUUCCGUUAGGGAGUGUGUGCGGUUGUGCGCCUGCCAUCUUUUUAGACAUUAUGCUGUGCCCUUCACUGGGUGGCAGGUAGUGGCUGAAUCUUUUACUUUGAAAAAAUUAGAGUGUUCAAAGCAGGCUUGCGCUAUGAAUACAUUAGCAUGGAAUAAUAAUUUAGGACUCCCGUUCUAUUUUGUUGGUUUCUAGGAUGGAAGUAAUGAUUGAUAGGGAUAGUUGGGGGUGCUAGUAUUCAGAGGCCAGAGGUGAAAUUCUUGGAUUCUCUGAAGACUAACUUAUGCGAAAGCAUU